UCAUCAUCAUCAUUAUUAUUAAAUUUUUUUAUUUAUUUUCUUUUAGAAUAACAUGGUACACAUAAAUAGCUAGACAAAGAGAAUCUCUUGUAUAUAUCAAGAGAUCUUACAAGUUAAACUGAACCAAACUGAGACCAUCAUACAAUUGAUGGUAAUAACUGUACCCAUACUUUUAUUUUCUUAAAACAUAACAUAAGAGACUAAUACUGCAUAUUCUUAACCGAGUGUGAUCAAUGUUUCUUCCAUAUUGUGGGACCACAAGAAGAUCAAUAUUUCCAUUAAUUCAUCAUCAGCAAUAAGUGACCAACGUGGCGGUGCAAUCCCUCCGACCAAUCGUUAUAACCUGAAAAAUUCAUGUUAUAAAAUUUAAUCACAAAUACACCUAUUAAAAUAAGAAUUAUAAAUGACAUUUAUUUGAAAAUGCAUGGCCUAGUAUAAACCUGCGCAAGGAGUUCCCAUAAUCUUCAAAUCAGGAAGGCAAAAGAUUUCUGCUGGCUUCGACUGAACGUAUUCAAAAACUCAAUAGGUAAGUAGUUGUGCUUGAGCGAGUUCUUAUUUCUGGUUUGAUCUGAUAUAUAUAGAUCAAGUAGCCGGAACUACGGUGCCAACGUGGCAAAGUAACAAGUUGUGCAUGGUAAAGAUAAUGGAUCAAUGGUUCUAAAUUUAAUCGUACAAUAAGUAGGGAAGGUCAACAGCUCUAUAUGGUUAAGUUAGUGCAUGUGCGAUACAUGGUUCAAAAAAUAAAUAAUUUUAAAUACGAAGGACGAGCAAAUUAAGUAAUAAAUGCCAUUACCAAAUAAUAGUGUGUGGUAUACUAUAGAUAAUGGAUCAACGAUUCAGAUUUCAUCAUACAAUAAGUAGGUAAGAUUAACGGUUAGUGUUAAAUCAUUGCAUGUGCGAAACAUGGUCCACAAAAUAAAUAGUAGUAAACAAGAAAGACGAAUAAAGUAAUCAAAUACCAUGUCAUCAGAUAAAAAGAAAAAAAAGAAAGGUAUACAUACCAUUACCAAACAAUUGCUUGGUAAAGAUAACAGAUUUACCGCUGAAGUCUGAUAAUUGUAAGAUUAACGGCUAUAUAUGGUUCAACUGCAUGUGUA
This 1097-nucleotide long non-coding RNA is filed under the name Citrus maxima (pomelo). RNAcentral's name for it is "long non-coding RNA (CMAX_LNC001159)". The record is from RNAcentral. Lineage: Eukaryota; Viridiplantae; Streptophyta; Magnoliopsida; Sapindales; Rutaceae.